This 464-nucleotide ribosomal RNA is filed under the name uncultured bacterium. RNAcentral's name for it is "bacterial SSU rRNA". It matches the Rfam family "Bacterial small subunit ribosomal RNA", at positions 96 to 556 of the family's 1533-position model. The record is from RNAcentral.
UGGCGAACGGGUGAGUAAUGUAUCGGAACGUGCCCAGUUGUGGGGGAUAACUGCUCGAAAGAGCAGCUAAUACCGCAUACGACCUGAGGGUGAAAGCGGGGGAUCGCAAGACCUCGCGCAAUUGGAGCGGCCGAUAUCAGAUUAGGUAGUUGGUGGGGUAAAGGCUCACCAAGCCGACGAUCCGUAGCUGGUCUGAGAGGACGACCAGCCACACUGGGACUGAGACACGGCCCAGACUCCUACGGGAGGCAGCAGUGGGGAAUUUUGGACAAUGGGCGCAAGCCUGAUCCAGCCAUGCCGCGUGCGGGAAGAAGGCCUUCGGGUUGUAAACCGCUUUUGUCAGGGAAGAAAAGGCUCCUGUUAAUACCGGGGGCUCAUGACGGUACCUGAAGAAUAAGCACCGGCUAACUACGUGCCAGCAGCCGCGGUAAUACGUAGGGUGCAAGCGUUAAUCGGAAUUACUG